GUAUUCACUUUGGCAGCACAUAUAUUAAAAUUGAAAUGAUACAGAGAAGAUUAGCAUGACCCCUGAGCAAGGAUAACACACAAAUUCGUGAAGCAUUCCAUAUUUAA
Molecule: small nuclear RNA, 107 nt
Filed under: Microtus ochrogaster (prairie vole)
Lineage: Eukaryota; Metazoa; Chordata; Mammalia; Rodentia; Cricetidae
Source: RNAcentral